RNAcentral lists this long non-coding RNA (826 nucleotides) under Arachis ipaensis. RNAcentral's name for it is "long non-coding RNA (AIPA_LNC002387)". The record is from RNAcentral. Lineage: Eukaryota; Viridiplantae; Streptophyta; Magnoliopsida; Fabales; Fabaceae.
AACCUAAUUAACCAGGGUUUAAGGCUGUGAUCCCCCCAAGUUUGAACAUAGGCAAUGCAAUAUACUAAUUUCAUUACAAAUAAAAGAGAAAUGAUAUUUUUCCCAUAUUUGGUACACCACUAAAUGUACACUUUUUUUUCUUGUUAUAACAAACUUUUCAUCUAAAUCUUUUUCUAACUUAUCAUGAAACCACUCAUCCCAAAAAUUUAAGUCGAUAGAAAAAAAUAACAUAAAUAAUUAUAUCUCUAACACUCCCCUCAAACAAGAAUCUCUUUUGGAUUUGCUUAAUUUUUUAUAGGCUUUCUUUUUUCUUUUUAUUUACCUUAUGCUAUUUUUUUUACUUUCAUUUUUUUACUUUUAGAGUUCACUAAGAAUUAAACUCUAAUCCUUUUGGACCUAGACCUAUAAUACCAUAUCAUAAAACCACUCUCUCAAAAGCUUAACCUGAGAAGAAUACAACAUGAAUAAUUAUAUCUCUAAUAUAAUUUUUUGUCGAUCACUUUAAUAUUAAUGGAGAAGUGGUGCACAUAAGGUGUACAUAUAAAGUGGGGCAUAUACCAUUACUCCACAUUUUAGCAAACAUAACAACUGCUUUAAAAACAUUGUUAAUGUGGAAGCAAGGCUCAGCACAUGAUAAUCAAUAACAGGCCAGGAUCAUUACUUGUAAUAAGUAGCAACUGAAAUUUGAGCACAUAACAUAAAUAUGAGUUGUAGCCGAGAAAGAUUGCAGAGAGAACAGAUAUUUUUCACAUGGAAAUUGGAAAGGAAGAAGAAAGGCAUAGAAAGAGAUGUUACUUACCUUGGUUGGUUCAACACUCAACAAGUG